Molecule: non-coding RNA, 72 nt
Organism: Nycticebus coucang (slow loris)
Lineage: Eukaryota; Metazoa; Chordata; Mammalia; Primates; Lorisidae
Source: the annotation of a RefSeq genome assembly
GGGGGUGUAGCUCAGUGGUAGAGCGCAUGCUUAGCAUGCAUGAGGUCCUGGGUUCAAUCCCUAGCACCUCCA